AUGUGCCCCCUUUGUAGAGAUCAUGGCCCUGGAGAGAAGGUUCAAAUUGUCAUGAGCCAAACAACUGAUUAUAGCACCUUCCUGCCACCCAGAAUGUCCUGACUUCUAUACGGGAAGCAUCUGGGCCACCACCAUGGGGUGUAAAUCAUGAUCACCAUCAGUAAACCGGAACAUCACUGAAUUCCAAGAUCAAAAGAAACCUUAAAGAAAUGAAUGAGGUAACAUGUAGCCUGUUUUCUACUACUGAGCAAUUUACAUCCAUGAUGAAGCCAACACUGAGUGUUAUCAGAAAAGAGACAAAAAGAACUUGGAUCCUUGAUCACAUCACUGAACUGGAUCAGCCAGUCCUGACACAUGCUUUCAAGCAUGUAAGCCACUAAAUGUGGUUCCUCUUGAAGCUAGUUUCAUCUGGGUUUCCUGUUACUCACUUAUAAAAGCAUCUUAAGUUUUUAACUUGCCUAAACCUUUAUUAAAACGAAACAAUAGAAUGUCUAUGUCCCCUCCCCCCCAGUCAAUCUAAUAAUAUUAAGAAGGGAAAGCAA
This is a long non-coding RNA of Suricata suricatta (meerkat), 542 nucleotides long. RefSeq lists it as uncharacterized. The transcript is spliced from 2 exons. The record is from RefSeq and is a predicted model, not a curated record. Lineage: Eukaryota; Metazoa; Chordata; Mammalia; Carnivora; Herpestidae.